GUUGCACAGCACACACCAUUGCACACCAGCACAGCGUUGCACAGCACGCAGCAUUGCACAGCACAUAGCACUGCACACCAGCACAGUUUUGCACAGCAUGCAGCACUGCCCAGCAUGCACCAUUGCACACCAGCACAGCAUUGCACAUCAUGCAGCACUGCACACCAUGCAACACUGCACAGCACACAGCAUUGCACACCAGGUAACACAGCACAGUACACACCAUUGCACACCAGCACAGCUUUGCACAUCAUGCAGCACUGCACAGAACACAGUAUUGCACACCAGCACUGCACAGCACGCAGCACCGCACACCAGCACCGCGUUGCACAGCACACACCAUUGCACACCAACACAGCAUUGCACAUCAUGCAGCAUUGCACAGCACACAGCACUGCACACCAGCACAGCUUUGCACAUCAUGCAGCACUGCCCAGCAUGCAGCAUUGCACACCAGCACAGCAUUGCACAUCAUGCAGCACUGCACAGAACACAGUAUUGCACACCAGCACUGCACAGCACGCAGCCCUGCACACCAGCACCGCGUUGCACAGCACACACCAUUGCACACCAGCACAGCGUUGCACAGCACACACCAUUGCACAGCACACAGCACUGCACACCAGCACAGUUUUGCACAGCAUGCCGCACUGCCCAGCAUGCACCAUUGCACACCAGCACAGCAUUGCACAUCAUGCAGCACUGCACACCGUGCAACACUGCACAGCACACAGCAUUGCACACCAGCACAGCGUUGCACAGCACGCAGCAUUGCACACGGCGGCCCCACCUCCCACCACCACCGC
Molecule: long non-coding RNA, 806 nt
Filed under: Gallus gallus (chicken)
Lineage: Eukaryota; Metazoa; Chordata; Aves; Galliformes; Phasianidae
Description: long non-coding RNA NONGGAT005064
Source: RNAcentral